UGUGCCAGCAGCCGCGGUAAUUCCAGCUCCAAUAGCGUAUAUUAAAGUUGUUGCGGUAAAAAAGCUCGUAGUUGGAUUUCUGUUGAGGACGACCGGUCCGUACCAUGUACGCGCAUCUGGUUCGGCCUCGGCAUCCUCUCGAUAGACGUUUCUGCGCUUGAUUGCGUGGUGCGGAUUUCGGGACUUUUACUUUGAGGAAAUUGGAGUGUUCACGGCAGGCUAUCGCCAGAACAUAUUAGCAUGGAAUAAUACUAUAGGAUCUCGGUUCUAUUUUGUUGGUUUCUAGACCCGGGGUAAUGAUAAAUAGGGACAAUUGGGGGCAUUUGUAUCAACACGUCAGAGGUGGAAUUCUUGGAUUGUGUUGCGACAAACUACUGCGAAAGCAUUUGCCAAGGAUGUUUUCAUUGAUCAAGAACGAAAGUAAGGGGAUCGAAGACGAUUAGAUACCGUCGUAGUCUUUACCAUAAACUAUGCCGACUAGAGAUGGGGCCUCGUUCACUUACGACUGGCUCCGCAUCUUAUGAGAUAUCAAAGUCUUUGGGUUCCGGGGGGAGUAUGGUCGCAAGUCUGAAACUUAAAGGAAUUGACGGAAGGGCACCACCAGGAGUGGAGCCUGCGGCUUAAUUUGACUCAACACGGGGAAACUCACCAGGUCCGGACAUAAUAAGGAUUGACAGAUUGAUAGCUCUUUCUUGAUUUUAUGGGUGGUGGUGCAUGGCCGUUCUUAGUUCGUGGAGUGAUUUGUCUGCUUAAUUGCGUUAACGAACGAGACCUUAACCUGCUAAAUAGGAGCGCAUAUCUCCGGAUAAGCGCCUUUCUUCUUAGAGGGACUGCAUGCGUUUCAGUAUGCGGAAGUUUGGGGCUAAAACAGGUCUGUGAU
Molecule: ribosomal RNA, 880 nt
Filed under: uncultured eukaryote
Lineage: Eukaryota
Description: SSU rRNA
Rfam family: Eukaryotic small subunit ribosomal RNA
Source: RNAcentral